AUUGAACGCUGGCGGCAGGCUUAACACAUGCCAGUCGAGCGAGCGGCGGACGGGUGAGUAAUGUCUGGGAAACUGCCUGAUGGAGGGGGAUAACUACUGGAAACGGUAGCUAAUACCGCAUCCCAUCCGAUGUGCCCAGAUGGGAUUAGCGAGUAGGUGGGGUAAUGGCUCACCUGGGCGACGAUCCCUAGCUGGUCUGAGAGGAUGACUAGCAACACUGGAACGGAGACACGGUCCAGAAUCCUACGGGAGGCAGCAGGGGGGAAUAGUGAAAAAUGGGCGCAAGCCUGAUUCAGCCAUGCCGCGUGUGUGAAGAAGGCCUGCGGGUUGUAAAGCACUUGCAGCGAGGAGGCGUUACUCGCAGAAGAAGAACCGGCUAACUCCGUGCCAGCAGCAGCGGUAAUAC
RNAcentral lists this ribosomal RNA (406 nucleotides) under uncultured bacterium. RNAcentral's name for it is "partial 16S ribosomal RNA". It matches the Rfam family "Bacterial small subunit ribosomal RNA", at positions 29 to 526 of the family's 1533-position model. The record is from RNAcentral.